Long non-coding RNA from Oryzias latipes (Japanese medaka), 1034 nucleotides. RefSeq lists it as uncharacterized. The record is from RefSeq and is a predicted model, not a curated record. Lineage: Eukaryota; Metazoa; Chordata; Actinopteri; Beloniformes; Adrianichthyidae.
UCUGUUUUAUGAAUCGCAGCUAAAACACAAACAGCCAGAAAGCUCGGUUCUUUAUUUACUGUAGAAACUUUAAAUAAGAGCUGCUCCUGCUCCUGAACAUCUACCUGCUCUGUUUCUACUCAUCACCUGGAUCUGGUGUGCUCGUGCCAAUCAGAACAUAGAAACACCUGAGUCUAUAGCAACAACAGGAGAGGAGUUCUGGAAAACAGAUUAACCUGUUUUUCUUGAUCCAUGAUGUAAAGACUCAAUUUAAAAAAAAACUCCAACAUAAUGAAACUUCUGACUGAUGGAAAAAGGACAAAACGACUCCUGCUGAGGAAUCUGCCGACAUCUUGUUAAAUCGCAGCAGAGCACUGGAGAUGCGAUUCCCCCUGAUUCUUAAACAUGAAGCUCCUCCGUCGGCUUCACCUCUUCCUGAUCGGCUGCUGAGGAUCAGAGGGGCGCCGGAGGCCUUUCUGCCCGCCUGCCAACGUGCGAUCCUCUCGCAGCCCACUCCGUAUGAAAUUCGUGUCGAACAAAACACUGUGGAUUGACGGUGCAUCUUAACAAGCACCACUCUGAGUAAUAAAUACGAUUAACACAGAGAAACUCUGUCACUUCCUAAUCCUCUCUGAGCUGGUUAUGGAAGCCCCGAAGCCUUCAGAUUCCUGUAAGUGGAUGGAGGAAGCAAAUGACUGCAGACGUUAAGCGGCGUGUAAAUGUUCAGAGGUGGCCGCGUGAUGGGAGUCUGAGUAACAUCCCACGACGUCCCAACAGGAUAAACAGUCCCAUCUCACUUUCAAAGUCCUGCUGGACCGGGGCUGCGGCAGGGGAGCAGAUCAGAAGGAGGCAUCACAUAAACUGAAAUAGAAGUUGAACUUGUGUGGUCGUCCAUCAUCCUUACAGUCCAACUUCAAUGAAAACUGGGUUUUUGAGUUGUUCUUGUGGCAUUUUUUGAUGAUAGAUAAAGACACAUAAGCUUAGAACUGCAUUGCGGAAUAUUUCUUUAGUCAAAUCGUUGUGAAUCAGGAGCAGACCUAAAGAAAUGCCGUUUG